Long non-coding RNA from Populus euphratica (Euphrates poplar), 545 nucleotides. RefSeq lists it as uncharacterized. The record is from RefSeq and is a predicted model, not a curated record. Lineage: Eukaryota; Viridiplantae; Streptophyta; Magnoliopsida; Malpighiales; Salicaceae. The transcript has 2 exons.
AAAUUACUUCGUAUUAUUUCUACAAUCUCUCUCCGUACAGAGACAAGCAUGGUUUGCCUCUCUUCUCUCUCUCUUCCUGAGGUUGACUUUACAGGGAUUUGACGCCCUUCAUCUGAUAAUACCAAGGGCAGAUGUUGAGAUCUUACUUCUUAGAUGUUGAUGAACAGCUGCAAAGAUGAGCAUAAGUAGGCUACUUUCUUGCAGGUUCUGUUGACCAGGCUAUCAGAUCCACACUUGACAAAUUAAGCUUGCUGUUUCACAUGAGUUCUUAUUAAACUCCAGACUUUCAAGCUAGUGGAGAAGGGUUUCCCUUUCGAUUCUUCAUUGUCUUCUCUUUUUCAGGAUCCCUGGUGAGCACAUGUUUCUUAGAUAUGGUUGCGACUUUUUAUAAUGUCUAUUUUCUCCUCACUGUCCACUGGAGGUGAUGCAGUUGAUUUAUAGCAUAUUUAAUUGUCUUGUUCUGUGAGGAAUUGAGAGUUGAUUAGAUAAAAAAUGCUUUAAUGUUCCAGCAUAAUAGAUGGCUGAAUAUAAUGAAUUUCCUGGAA